AACCACCCAGACUUACCAAAGGUCCCAUAAGUUUUAAGCAUUGAAAACUUUGGGCGUGGCAAACAGAACUCCUUAUGUUAAGUUCAGGUGAUGGUAUUUGCUGACUUCACCGGAACCAACUCAUGCCUGAGGUUUUAAAAAGCAUACAAAACCAUUUAUUUGUCAUGCAAAAGGAACGUGGAUCACAAACUAAAUGACAGAGAAAGGGAGUCAACGUUUCAGGUGUGCAGGGAGAAGUGACCCUUGCAGUUCCUGCACAAGAGGGCACCCAGUUAGUUCCAGCCCUGCACCAAGAACCUCUGCUACUGCUACCGCGCGGGGGAGCCACCUGCUGCUCGGCGCCCUUUGUUUCCACCACAGAGGCGUGGCCCCUCCUUUGUGCAGAGCCUACGUGUGUCCUAUACCCCUUGCCCCCACCCCUGGGCAUCCUGUUCAAGAGUGGGGCCUCCUUGUGAACUUACUGCCCUUUCAGAGGGUGGCCUUUUGUGGGCGUCUCUGCCCUCUGGCCUUAGGACCACGGGACUCCCGCAGUGCUCCCCUUUCCCGGGAGCGGCACCUGGGCGUUAUUGAGCUCAGGUGUUCCAGGUCUUUAUCAGGAUGCACUUCUGUCCCACUGGCUCCCAGCGUGUUUUAGCAGCUUCCUGUUUCUGCUUUGCUGCGUCCAGGCCACAGUGGAAGCGAGGUCACCAACGAGACCUGUCUUUGAAUAUGCAGUAAAAGGACUGCUCUUGGGUAGGCAGGUGUGGAAAUGCACUUAGUCCUAUAGGUUGUCAUCAGGAACUGGAAUCACGUGAUCAAGAGCCAGCAGAGGCUGUGGAUAAGCUGAGAUAAGAUUUAGCUGUUUCACUUCACACUCAGUGGUUUUGGUCAUUUAGUCCUCACCUCCGAGAACCAUGGUCAAGACAUAAGUUAUCAACUCAUUUGGGCAAAAACCAAGGAACACGAUUGCUGGAUCAUAUGAGAAAUAUGGCUGACCGAUGGCCAAGCAAACAAGAACAUAAACAAUGAACACUUCUAAAUAGCAAGCCUCUUCUGACAUGAAGUGUUAAUAUUUAUUCAAAGAAUUAAACAUGGAAAAGAUCUAAAGGGAUGAACUAGACUGUAUAGCUUUCUGUAGGGAGAAAAUGCAAGAGAAGGGAACAUUGUUCUAUUUCUGCCAGCAAGAAGUUACCAAGCUUGUGAGGAAAAGGUGACACAGACAUAUAUGCUAGAAAAAUCAGUUAUUAGAAGAUAUUUAACAAACAUAGAUUUUUGUACCCACUAUAUUCCAAAUAAAGGUUUAGUGUCUGGGGAAGACAAUACUGAACAAGCUAGAAAAUAGAGCUUAUAUUCUACUGAGGCAGGAGACAGACAAUAAAGACAGAAACAUCUACAGAGAGAGGUGCAGUUGUGAAUAAAUGCAAAGAAGGCAAUGGUCCUGACAAUGGCAGGCGGUAAAGUGUAGCUUUCUGUGGAUACGAUGGUCUGGCAAGUCCUCUCCUAGGAAAGGCUUUUGAGCAGAAACCUGAAUGAUGAGAAAGAACCAGUCACUGACAGUUCUGGUUGAAGAAUGUUUCAGGCAGAAGCAGCAGCAAGGUUAAAGGGCCUGAGGUGAAAAGGAAUUUCAGGUAUUGAAAGGACGUGUAGCUGGAGCUCAUUGCUGUGUGCACGUGGAUAGGGAGACAUGUGAUAUGCACACUCAGAAAUGGCUGAUAUUAUAUAGUCACCAUAGUUUCCCAGUCCGUUCAACUAAUAUGUCAUGUCACACUCAAAUGCCUCAGCUUUAUGACCUGAGAUAUUAGAAUAAUAACAUUGUAUAUCUCUUAUAAAACCAUUCCCUUUCUAUUGAUUUUUGUCCACAGAGAUCAUCAUAGUGCUAUUAUGAUUUCCAUUUAGCACUUACUCGUCCUUACUGGUUAGUUGUACAAUCAAUACUGUGUCUAGAAAGCAGAAGCCAUCUUUAUUUCUCUUAUCUCUUUUUUGGUAAGCAUGAGGGAAGGGAUCUCUCUUGCAUUGGGAAACAAACAAAUUGCUGUGGAAGUACAAGUAAUAACAUCAUGUUUCUCUGGUACAUACUAGGAAACUACAUUGUUUAUUUGCAAAGAAUCACUUCUGCUUUCAGCCAAAGCUUGGUACUAUCCAGACAUUUCAAACUGCACAUUAUAGCUUGGCUGCUUUCUUUAAGGAAACGCUGAUUCCUGAGGCCAUCCUGCGUUUGGAGCAGACGGCUGCCCUUUAAAUCUAGUGAACCAAUCAUUGAUUUAUUUGCCAAUUUCUGACUAUAUUUUGCUCAAAAAUACCCAUUUAAAAACAAACUCACUCCCCAAAUAUCUUUCCACGCUGUGUCGGCCUACUUUUAUAAGCCCACAUUAUCAUUGUUAACAUGUAUUAUAUAACUUGUAUGUGUGUACUGUGUGAUUAAGAAUAGAUUAUUUUACCUUAUGCCUUUAAGUACCUUAAGACAUAAUUUCACAGAAGUUUUCUUGUUCAUUCCCAAGUGCUCCUAAGUAUUGCUGUAUACAUUUUUGUCCACUUGUCUGUCUUUACUGCAUACUAAAUAACUCUGUAAAUAUUCUUCCUCUUUCCCCAGUUUAAAAAACAUCUUAGACCUUUAAAAAUUACUAAAAGUAUAAGCAUACUUUAAAAAUC
Felis catus (domestic cat) is the source of this 2628-nucleotide long non-coding RNA. RefSeq lists it as uncharacterized. The transcript has 5 exons. The record is from RefSeq and is a predicted model, not a curated record. Lineage: Eukaryota; Metazoa; Chordata; Mammalia; Carnivora; Felidae.